GAGAAAGCGAUGAAAAGAAAAGUACAUCUGAUUAAAGUACAAAGAGAGCUCCGGUAUGCUGAAAAGGAGUUGCGGCAAUGAGAUGGAAAAUGGUCUUUGAGCAGGAUGGACGAAGCAGGUGCCAAGUCUAUCACGGGAGUGCCCGUUACAGCACCUCAGUAUGCGCAUAAAGCAAGUACUGGCAGAGGUUGUGAUCGCAAGGUCAGAACGAAUUUUAGGUGGUAACACGGAAGUUAAAGCUUUCGUCCUAAGU
Molecule: non-coding RNA, 253 nt
Organism: Enterococcus sp. 3H8_DIV0648
Lineage: Bacteria; Bacillati; Bacillota; Bacilli; Lactobacillales; Enterococcaceae
Source: Rfam